This 494-nucleotide ribosomal RNA is filed under the name uncultured bacterium. RNAcentral's name for it is "partial 16S ribosomal RNA". It matches the Rfam family "Bacterial small subunit ribosomal RNA", at positions 28 to 507 of the family's 1533-position model. The record is from RNAcentral.
GACGAACGCUGGCGGCGUGCUUAACACAUGCAAGUCGAACGGUGAAGCGCCUUCCUUUUUGGUGGGUGUGGAUGAGUGGCGAACGGGUGAGUAACACGUGAGUAACCUGCCCCCUUCUUCUGGAUAACCGCAUGAAAGUGUGGCUAAUACGGGAUAUUCUGGGUCUGUCGCAUGAUGGGUCUGGGAAAGAUAUUGUUUCGGUGGGGGAUGGGCUCGCGGCCUAUCAGCUUGUUGGUGGGGUGAUGGCCUACAAAGGCGGUGACGGGUAGCCGGCCUGAGAGGGUGGACGGUCACGCUGGGACGGAGACACAGCCAAGACUGCUACGGGAGGCAGCAGUAGGGAAUACUGGAGAAUGGGCGCAAGCCUGAUGCAGCGCCGCCGCGUGAGGGAUGGAGGCCUUCGGGUUGUGAACCUCUUUCGCCAGUGAAGCAGGCCUGCCUAGUUUGUGGGUGGGUUGACGGUAGCUGGAUAAGAAGCGCCGGCUAACUACGUG